Molecule: ribosomal RNA, 484 nt
Filed under: uncultured bacterium
Lineage: Bacteria
Description: partial 16S ribosomal RNA
Rfam family: Bacterial small subunit ribosomal RNA
Source: RNAcentral
ACUCAAAUGAAUUGACGGGGACCCGCACAAGCGGUGGAGCGUGUUCUUUAAUUCGAUGGUAAGCGAAGAACCUUACCAAGGUUUGACAUCUCUGGAAUCUCUUCGAAAGAAGAUAGUGCCUUCGGGAACCAGAUGACAGGUGAUGCAUGGCCGUCGUCAGCUCGUGUCGUGAGAUGUUUGGUUAAGUCCAUCAACGAGCGCAACCCUUAUAGUUAGUUGGAUUUCUCUAGCUAGACUGCCCCGGUAACGGGGAGGAAGGAGGGGAUGAUGUCAGGUCAGUAUUUCCCUUACACCUUGGGCUAGAAACACGCUACAAUGGCCGGUACAAAGGGCAGCCAAGUCGCGAGACGGAGCAAAUCCCAUCAAAACCGGUCCCAGUUCGGAUAGCAGGCUGAAACCCGCCUGCUUGAAGCCGGAAUCGCUAGUAACGGUAAGUCAGCACAUUACCGUGAAUACGUUCCCGGGUCUUGUACACACCGCCCGU